RNAcentral lists this ribosomal RNA (387 nucleotides) under uncultured bacterium. RNAcentral describes it as "bacterial SSU rRNA". It matches the Rfam family "Bacterial small subunit ribosomal RNA", at positions 30 to 416 of the family's 1533-position model. The record is from RNAcentral.
AUUGAACGCUGGCGGCAUGCCUUACACAUGCAAGUCGAACGGCAGCACGGGGGCAACCCUGGUGGCGAGUGGCGAACGGGUGAGUAACAUAUCGGAACAUACCCUAGAGUGGGGGAUAACGUAGCGAAAGUUACGCUAAUACCGCAUACGAUCUAAGGAUGAAAGUGGGGGAUCUUCGGACCUCAUGCUCAUGGAGUGGCCGAUAUCUGAUUAGCUAGUUGGUGAGGUAAAGGCUCACCAAGGCGACGAUCAGUAGCUGGUUUGAGAGAACGACCAGCCACACUGGAACUGAGACACGGUCCAGACUCCUACGGGAGGCAGCAGUGGGGAAUUUUUGGACAAUGGGGGCAACCCUGAUCCAGCAAUGCCGCGUGAGUGAAGAAGGCC